This 172-nucleotide unclassified non-coding RNA is filed under the name uncultured Sordariales. RNAcentral describes it as "sequence contains ITS1". The record is from RNAcentral. Lineage: Eukaryota; Fungi; Ascomycota; Sordariomycetes; Sordariales.
CAGGAUCGUCGAAAGACGUCUCCAUAAACCAUUGUGAACUUACCUAUUUGUCGUGCUUCGGUAGGCAGGCUCUACAUUCGUGUAAGCCUCCUAGGCCUAACGGUGCCUACCGAUGUGCAACCUUUAAACUAUGAUAUCUUUGUGGAAUCUCUGAAAAAAAAAUAAACCAUAA